GAGUUUGAUCAUGGCUCAGAUUGAACGCUGGCGGCAGGCCUAACACAUGCAAGUCGAGCGGUAGCACAAGAGAGCUUGCUCUCUGGGUGACGAGCGGCGGACGGGUGAGUAAUGUCUGGGAAACUGCCUGAUGGCGGGGGAUAACUAGUGGAAACGGUAGCUAAUACCGCAUAACGUCGCAAGACCAAAGUGGGGGCCCUUCGGGCCUCACGCCAUCAGAUGUGCCCAGGUGGGAUUAGCUGGUAGGUGAGGUAACGGCUCACCUAGGCGACGAUCCCUAGCUGGUCUGAGAGGAUGACCAGCCACACUGGAACUGAGACACGGUCCAGACUCCUACGGGAGGCAGCAGUGGGGAAUAUUGCACAAUGGGCGCAAGCUCUGAUGCAG
This 387-nucleotide ribosomal RNA is filed under the name Serratia symbiotica. RNAcentral describes it as "bacterial SSU rRNA". It matches the Rfam family "Bacterial small subunit ribosomal RNA", at positions 9 to 391 of the family's 1533-position model. The record is from RNAcentral. Lineage: Bacteria; Pseudomonadati; Pseudomonadota; Gammaproteobacteria; Enterobacterales; Yersiniaceae.